This 84-nucleotide transfer RNA is filed under the name archaeon. Its description in RNAcentral is "tRNA-Leu". It matches the Rfam family "tRNA". Rfam says of the family: Transfer RNA (tRNA) molecules are approximately 80 nucleotides in length. Their secondary structure includes four short double-helical elements and three loops (D, anti-codon, and T loops). The record is from RNAcentral.
GCAGGGGUUCCCGAGCGGCCAAAGGGGCGAGACUUAAGAUCUCGUGGCUUAGUGCCUUCGAGAGUUCGAAUCUCUCCCCCUGCA